UACAGAGGUGGCAAGCGUUGUUCGGAAUUACUGGGCGUAAAGGGCGCGUAGGCGGCCAUCUAAGUCAGACGUGAAAUCCCCCGGCUUAACCUGGGAACUGCGUCUGAUACUGGGCGGCUUGAGUAUGGGAGAGGGAUGUAGAAUUCCAGGUGUAGCGGUGAAAUGCGUAGAUAUCGGGGGGAAUACCAGUGGCGAAAGCGGCACCCUAGCGUUAGCCUGACGCUCAUGUGCGAAAGCGUGGGGAGCGAACGGG
Molecule: ribosomal RNA, 253 nt
Filed under: uncultured bacterium
Lineage: Bacteria
Description: partial 16S ribosomal RNA
Rfam family: Bacterial small subunit ribosomal RNA
Source: RNAcentral